CCUACGGGUGGCUGCAGUGGGGAAUUUUGCACAAUGGGGGAAACCCUGAUGCAGCGACGCCGCGUGAGUGAAGAAGUAAUUCGUUUUGUAAAGCUCUAUCAGCAGGGAAGAAUAUGACGGUACCUGAGUAAGAAGCACCGGCUAACUACGUGCCAGCAGCCGCGGUAAUACGGAGGGGGCAAGCGUUAUCCGGAUUUACUGGGUGUAAAGGGAGCGUAGACGGCAGUGCAAGUCUGGUGUGAAAGGCGGGGGCUCAACCCCCGGUCUGCACUGGAUACUGUACGGCUGGAGUGCAGGAGAGGUAAGUGGAAUUCCUAGUGUAGCGGUGAAAUGCGUAGAUAUUAGGAGGAACAUCAGUGGCGAAGGCGGUUUACUGGACUGUAACUGACGUUGAGGCUCGAAAGCGUGGGGAGCAAACGGGAUUAGAUACCCGGGUAGUC
This 440-nucleotide ribosomal RNA is filed under the name uncultured bacterium. RNAcentral's name for it is "partial 16S ribosomal RNA". It matches the Rfam family "Bacterial small subunit ribosomal RNA", at positions 338 to 795 of the family's 1533-position model. The record is from RNAcentral.